AGUCCAAUGGUGUAAUGGUAGCACAACAGAUUUUGGUUCUGUUUGUCUAGGUUCGAAUCCUGGUUGGACUA
Molecule: transfer RNA, 71 nt
Filed under: Taibaiella chishuiensis
Lineage: Bacteria; Pseudomonadati; Bacteroidota; Chitinophagia; Chitinophagales; Chitinophagaceae
Rfam family: tRNA
About the family: Transfer RNA (tRNA) molecules are approximately 80 nucleotides in length.
Source: Rfam by way of RNAcentral